Molecule: ribosomal RNA, 447 nt
Filed under: uncultured bacterium
Lineage: Bacteria
Description: partial 16S ribosomal RNA
Rfam family: Bacterial small subunit ribosomal RNA
Source: RNAcentral
AACGAACGCUGGCGGCAGGCUUAACACAUGCAAGUCGAACGCCCCGCAAGGGGAGUGGCAGACGGGUGAGUAACGCGUGGGAAUCUACCGUACCCUACGGAACAACAGUUGGAAACGACUGCUAAUACCGUAUACGCCCUUAGGGGGAAAGAUUUAUCGGGGAAUGAUGAGCCCGCGUUGGAUUAGCUAGGUGGUGGGGUAAAGGCCUACCAAGGCGACGAUCCAUAGCUGGUCUGAGAGGAUGAUCAGCCACAUUGGGACUGAGACACGGCCCAAACUCCUACGGGAGGCAGCAGUGGGGAAUAUUGGACAAUGGGCGCAAGCCUGAUCCAGCCAUGCCGCGUGAGUGAUGGAGGUCUUAGGAUUGUAAAGCUCUUUCACCGAUGAAGAUAAUGACGGUAGUCGGAGAAGAAGCCCCGGCUAACUUCGUGCCAGCCGCCGCGGUAA